Molecule: long non-coding RNA, 959 nt
Organism: Pseudopipra pipra
Lineage: Eukaryota; Metazoa; Chordata; Aves; Passeriformes; Pipridae
Exons: 2
Source: RefSeq, a predicted model, not a curated record
CCUCAAGGUUUUUAUUAUUGAAACAAAAAACACAUUUAUUGGUCUACAAUAGCGGAGGUUUUAAGGAACUGAAGCAUCUUAGCAUAGAAAGAGAAUGGUCAGGUAUUCAGAAGUAAGUGUGAAAAGAGACAAACUGAUGUCAAAAACAAUAUCAGAAAACAGUCAGGCUUGUAUCUGCCAUGGAGAAUGAGUGCAAAGAAUAUAAUAGAGUGAAAGAAAUCUGAAGUCUACUAGGGAAACAUAGGAAGCUUUCUAACAUACCAUGGGAAGGAAGAGCUAGGCUGGUGUCACUACAAGGUGUAAAAUGGAUUUAUAAGGCUCUUUGUGACUGAAAGCUGAUCAUCUCUGAAAAGACUUACCCUCAUCGCUCUUUCAGAUAGCGAUGACAGAGACGUGCUGUUUCUGCUUUCUCAUCCUCACUACUGACAGCAGACCAGGCCUAAAAUUACUAGUGUGUUGGAUUAUUUGUGUGAGUGAGAAGCUUUCUUUUGAUCACUGGCUAAAGUGUUAUAGAAGGGAAAAGAAGUUAGAAACCAGAUGACAAAAAGCUGUACCAUGGCACAGGUACACAAAGAUUUUAUAAGGCAACACUCUGUACAAAGACUAAUGGUGCUACAGAUCAAACAUUUAAAGCCACAAACAAAUGAAGACUAUUGCACAUGAUGUGCAUCCAAAUGAAUCUACUCUUUAUUCCUACAUAUUCCAACGUAUUGAGGGGGUUGCAAAUAUCAAAUAUGGAAGAAAGUGACAGAGAGUUCACAUUUUGUGCAGCCCUCAGGUCACUUUGCUGCUUUGUGACAUCCUCACUCUUCCUCUUCUAUCUUCUUCCCAUGCAUGUCCCGGCUCUUCACUCGGAGCUUGUUGACCUGUGACUCUGCAAUAUCAGCCCGUUCCUCGGCUUCCUCCAGCUCGUGCUGGAUCUUGCGGAACUUGGAGAGGUUGACAUUGGAGAGCUCCUC